This 253-nucleotide ribosomal RNA is filed under the name uncultured bacterium. Its description in RNAcentral is "partial 16S ribosomal RNA". It matches the Rfam family "Bacterial small subunit ribosomal RNA", at positions 524 to 776 of the family's 1533-position model. The record is from RNAcentral.
UACGUAGGGGGCGAGCGUUGUCCGGAUUUAUUGGGCGUAAAGCGCGCGUAGGCGGCCCGGUAAGUCCGUUGUGAAAGUCAAAGGCUCAACCUUUGAACGCCGAUGGAUACUGCCGGGCUAGAGUCCGGAAGAGGCGAGUGGAAUUCCUGGUGUAGCGGUGGAAUGCGCAGAUAUCAGGAGGAACACCAAUAGCGAAGGCAGCUCGCUGGGACGGUACUGACGCUGAGACGCGAAAGCGUGGGGAGCGAACAGG